Molecule: transfer RNA, 72 nt
Filed under: mouse gut metagenome
Also listed under: 1 other name
Rfam family: tRNA
About the family: Transfer RNA (tRNA) molecules are approximately 80 nucleotides in length. Their secondary structure includes four short double-helical elements and three loops (D, anti-codon, and T loops). Further hydrogen bonds mediate the characteristic L-shaped molecular structure. tRNAs have two regions of fundamental functional importance: the anti-codon, which is responsible for specific mRNA codon recognition, and the 3' end, to which the tRNAs corresponding amino acid is attached (by aminoacyl-tRNA synthetases). tRNAs cope with the degeneracy of the genetic code in two manners: having more than one tRNA (with a specific anti-codon) for a particular amino acid; and 'wobble' base-pairing, i.e. permitting non-standard base-pairing at the 3rd anti-codon position.
Source: RNAcentral
GGGAUAUAGCUCAGUUGGUUAGAGCGUUACGUUGACAUCGUAAAGGUCAUAGGUUCGAGCCCUACUAUCCCC